AACUACUUAGUAAGCUGAUGGAUUUAGA
RNAcentral lists this small RNA (28 nucleotides) under Bombyx mori (domestic silkworm). Its description in RNAcentral is "ovarian small RNA-10421". The record is from RNAcentral. Lineage: Eukaryota; Metazoa; Arthropoda; Insecta; Lepidoptera; Bombycidae.